RNAcentral lists this unclassified non-coding RNA (223 nucleotides) under Hevea brasiliensis (rubber tree). The record is from RNAcentral. Lineage: Eukaryota; Viridiplantae; Streptophyta; Magnoliopsida; Malpighiales; Euphorbiaceae.
GUUGAAAUAUCCUUGCAUUAUAUUUGGUCCACGGAACCAUAAUUCCCCUAGUUGAGUAGGGGGGAGAGGCUUCAUUGUGUCUACGCUAACCACUUUGCCCUCAACCCCAGGGACGAGGGGUCCUGUUGAACCAAAUUGGCGAGUCCCUCCACUAGGAUUCUCUAGUGAAAUAAUGCCACAAGAUUCUGUCAAACCAUACCCCUGAACAAUCUCCAAACCCGGA